Piliocolobus tephrosceles (Ugandan red Colobus) is the source of this 4419-nucleotide long non-coding RNA. RefSeq lists it as uncharacterized. NCBI's taxonomy places the organism in Eukaryota, Metazoa, Chordata, Mammalia, Primates, Cercopithecidae. The transcript is spliced from 5 exons. The record is from RefSeq and is a predicted model, not a curated record.
UGAGUUUUCUCUAAGCCGCAGUUCCUCAGCCCUAGAGGGGAGUAAUAGGGCCGGCCUCUAGGUAAGGAUGAAAUAGCAUAGGGCACUCUUAGCACAGUGCCCGGCAGGGAGGAAGUGCUCAGAACUGGUGGCAAUCAUGGUCAUCGUAACAGAAGAGGUGGAGGGCACAGGGCACCCUGGAAAGGACACCAACUUGGCAUCAGGAGAUUGUCACAUGACCAUUUACCAUCAAGACACUUAACUUCUCUGAUCCCAGUGGCUUCCAUUUGCAAUGUAUUUGGCUUCAAUUUGGGGCUAGCCCUGGCUCAUUCGUUCAGCAGCUGGCCAGCAUUCUGAGAGAGUACAGAAGCACACGGGCUUCCUGAAGCCUAGAAAGGGCACACUGCCUCUCCAGCUCAUUCUAUUGGUCAAGGCCUGCCCAGGUUCAAGUGGUGGUGUGAUGGCCUCAACCUCUUGGAAUUACAUCAAAUACACUGGAGUAAUGGUUUCGGUGAGAAAAGAGUCUGCCCUGGGGAUCAACAUGCACAGAUGUGACUGUCCCAAGGUUGCUGGGUAGCCUGGAACUUCUUGGUGUAGAUUCUCCAGAGUGGGUGCCCUGGCCUUAACUCUGAAAAUGACCCUUUUCUAGGCCACACUAUGUGUUGCUUCAACAGCACCAAACCCAAGAGGCCAAGAAGUCCCAUGAUCUGCCACCUGCAAACUGAAGACCCAGGAAAUCCAGUGUGUGGUUCAAAAGCCUAAGAGCCAGAGAGCUGAUGGUGUAGAUUCCAGUCGAGUCUGAAGACCUGAGAGCCAGGAGCAUCGAGGGCAGGGAGUUAAAGUGGUAGUGCUAUUGAGAGGGAAUUCCCUGAGAUCAGUGAAGUGUGGGAGACAUCCUUAGCUGUGGACUGAGAAACCUGCAUAGCCCAGGACCCCUCCUCAUCUCAACCUGCUGGAUGGGCUUGAAGAUGCUGCACAAAAGACAUUCUCCGCCCUGGGCAAUGAAGCGUGUUGUGAAAAACAAAUACUUCCAAACAGUGGGACCUGAGUUUGAUUCCAGUUUUGAUCACUUAUUUGCUCAGUAAUUGUAGCCAUUUUAAGGGUCAUUUUGAUCCUCUGAAAGGCAGGGAUCAUAGUAAGUCUUCCUGAUGAGGUUUCCUUGAGGACUGAUGAGGGAGCUUAUGCAAAAGCAACAGGUGCAGUCCCUGGGUCAGGUGAAUGUGCCAGAACCUUACCCUGAUCUUUCAAAUCUGUUCUACUUGAAACCUCAGGAACAUGUUGCAUUUUUCUAACCAUGCCCUUUUGUCUAAGGGUAAGAGGUUGUGGCUGCAGUUCCAUGCACUCAGAGAACAUCUGUCCUGAAAGCGAGUCCCACAUGCACAGAUUCUGCUAGGCUCUGCUCUCACAUGCAGCGUCUUCAGUGGAUACAAGUUCCUGAUGCUGCUCUCCGGGGCAUGUGUGUGCUCUGUCCUUCCACAUGCCUUGUACAGGGGUCCUAGAGUGACAGGAGGCAAAUGCUCCUCAGCCCUACAUUAGCCAUAAUAAACACUCUAGGGGUGACAGGCGAAGCUGGGCCCGUAGGCACUGUGCCCCAGUCACCUGUUACUGCAUGCCCUGCCCUGAGCAGACAUUGGAGGGGACUUGGCAGCUACAUAAGGCCUAGAGGCCUUUGGUUCACAUGCUGUGAAUCACAACAAUGUGAGCACUGUGCAUGGAGCACUUGUUGUGGCUGGCAGAGUAAUGUCCACACUCUAAUCUCUGGAACCUGGGAAUGUGUUCUCUCACAUGACAAAGAGGUAAUUAUGGUACAGAUGGAAUUAAGGUUGCUAAUCAGCUGACCUUAAACUAGGGAGAUUAUUUUGGAUUAUCUGGUGGCUCAAAGUAAUCACAAGCAUCCUUCAAUGUGGCAGGGCGAGAGGGAAGAGAAGAGAGUCGGGGGAAAUGUAAUGACAGAAGAACAGACAGAAAGAUGCACACAGCAUUGUUGGCUCAGGGCAGGUGGAUAUCCACUCUCUGCUUGAGUGCCUUCAGUGAUGGGGAACUCAGUUUUAACCACAGAACGCAUCGAGGUCUUGGACAGCUCUGCCUAUUGAAAAUAUCUUUUUGUUGUUUCUUUUUAGAUACAGAGCCUUGCUAUGUUGCCCAGGCUGGUUUCAAACUCCUGGCUUCAAAUAAUCCUCUCAUGUUAGCCUCCCAAGUAGCCGGAAUUACAGGCACACACCACUGCACCUGGCUGAAGAGAUUUUUCUGAUUCAGCGCGUUCAUUGUAAUCUGCCACCAUGAGACCACUAUUCUUGGGAAGACCCUCAGAAUGUGUUUGUUCCCCAUCCCCUACAACAACCAUUGAGAAGCAUGUGGACACAGCUCACAUGUCCCAUGGGUCUUCUUCUCUUCACCCUGAAUGUCCUUAGUCCUCCACCAUUUCUAACCGGACAUAGUUUCAAGCCCCAUGACAUCCUUUCACUCCAACUGUUUUGUGUCCCUUCCCAAGGCAUGUGCCCAAGACUUCUCUGUUCUUCCAGAUGACCUGUGCUUUCUGGAGGAACUAGAACUAUCUCUGCUCCCACCUUAGGUAUUGUAUUUUUACAGAUUAGCCUCAGGCAGAUGUUUUUCUAGAGGCUGAAAACCAAUCUUAAGUCAUAUUGGGUUUACUGUUGACUAAAACCACCAAUUCUUUCCAUCACUUGCAGGUUCUGAGACCCCUGUUAAACAACCAACCUCCAUGUCAUUCAUUCAUCAACCGAUACUCAUUGCACUCUUUCUUUGGGUUGUGCUGUGCUCUUGAUUCUAGGAAUACUGCAAUGGACAAAGCAAUGUUCUUGGCCUCACAUUCUAGAAUAUUCUGAAGGCCCAUGUACAAGCUUUUCAUUUAGGCCAGCAACAAUUCGUUUUGUUGGAAUGUCCUUUAGUCCACAGAGGCCACUGGGGAGCUUGACUCUGCUGCCCAGCAUCUUUUCCACCCCCAGAUUUUUGUCAGGCUUGCUCCUUCUUGGCAGUUCUCAUCAGACCAAGCCCUGAGGACCCCAGUUGACCCAAGCAUGAGACAGACACACCCUCUUCACCUUGCCUGUGUUUGGUCUGUAGGUAUAGGAACACUCUCAUGAGCCAGCUGGACUGGAGCACAGUAUUCUUUGAAUCUCAGGAAGUUUUCCACAAAAGCAGAAAGCCCCUUGUCUCUUCUCACCUCUCAUCUUUCUUUACUUCUUAUCUUCUCAAUUGCCUUAUGAAGACAAACUAAAGCCAUUUGCUUAUUGAUCUGCCCCAAUAACCUCCUGGAGGACCAGGACCAUGCCCUAAUAUUAACAAGAAUUUGUACUAGUCGAGUGCUUAUUGUUUACUGUCUUUUUUGAUGCCGGGAAUAGCCCUAUGCAAUGGGUACUCUUAAUAUCCCCCCCACAGAUGAGGAAGCUGAGGCUGGAAGAAAUUAUGAAGCCCAUUCAGGACUGGUUGCAGCUGGGAAGCAGAGGAGCUGGGAUUUAACCUCACGGGUAUCUGGUCUUAGAACCCGGGCUUCUGAGCACUGUGCUGCACUAUUAUUUUCAUGUCUGUGCACCCAGAAUUGAGUCUAAUGCUUACCACAUUGUAGAUGCCCAAGAAAUAUUUGCUGAAAUAAAUGAUUGACUCAGGGUUAUGUCAGGUGAGGGAUAGCCAGCUAGACAGCUGCUUUCAGCUCAGCCUAAAGAGUCCAUAUAAUCAGGUCCUUCCUUAAAUGGGGUGGUCUCAGCAUUGCCAGUCAAAGAGCAAUGAAAGCUAGAAUGGGGACCCAGACACUGUCCAACUGAGGUCGCCCAGGGUUAAGCCAUCAUACCCAAGGCCAAGAGCAGAGUGGAGAAUGGAAGACACAGUCAUAAGGCUGGGAGCUAAAAGAGGAGCUCAAGAAAGAAGUAGAGAGGGGGAUAGGGCUCUAAUGGGGACCAGGACUGGCUCUGCAGGGCUUCCUGUUCCAGGGGGCUGCGAUCUGGGCAUCAGUAGAUCGACCUGGAAUAAAGACCCAGGGUCUUUCAAGAUAAUGGCAUGCCCCUAAUCUGAAAUGGAAGUAGAGCCUUCUGGGAAGCUGCCAUUUUGCAGAAUUGGCUCAACUUGGAGGCCAGGCUCAUCUGGAACCCUCCUCCUAAACUGAGACAGCUGUUCCUGAGAAGUGGCCCAUCUAGGGCCCUCUGUGGGAAGUUUGGGUACUCGCACUUUCAAUUCUGUAUGUUGUUAUUGAUUUUCCAAAUAAAUGUGGACUUAGGUCUUCAUUCAUUCAAAAUGCAUUUGUUCUGAGUUGGGGAUCACUUGGAGAGAGGUUGGAUUGGAUUUCACCUUCCUUGUUUCCUGUAGAAUAAAUGAAAUUGCAGGCGGCAUGGGUAGCUCACCCAAGACAGUGAUUGAGAUGGGCACAUUUUACUAAGUGGGGUGUAAAUAUAUAUAUAUCCUUGGAUACAGAAUCCUCUGAGAUAU